AUCACAGGCUGACCCGCUUCCUCUCCAGCCCUUCCUUUGGAAGCAUCACCACUGAUUUAGAAGGGGUGAAAUGAAAUCAUCUACAGACACCAAAUGAGAUCAAGGACCAUUGUGCUCUCAGACUGGAAGAUGUAACCUUUUGUGAAACACUUAAAAUCGAAACACUCUGGACACAUAAAAGAAACAGAUUUUUCACCUUCCUAGAAAGGAGAGCAGAAGUGAUCGAUCACUGUUGCCAGGAACACUUUGCCUUUGUCAGCAGAGCCUCUGGAGGAACCCAGGUGGAGGACAAAGAAGCCUCAAGAGCUUGUAACAAAGAUGAUGAUGUGGGAAACCAUGUCCCCCUGUUCUCCCAGGUGCCAUCAAGAGCAUUGCCAGACCUACCACAUCAGCAGUCCUGCAGACAGUGAGGGGUGAUGUGGCUGUCACUCCUUCACCAGCUCAAGCAUUCUCAGAGCUCUGGCUUUGCACCCUGUACUACUCUGUACCUGUGUUUGGGGACACGGACAUCUCACCAACACAGAAUCCUUAUUGAAAAGCAGCACAGUAAUGGUAUUUAGAACAUUAUACAAAGGAAUACACAUCAAAAUACCUGGAAUGCUGGUUCAUCAAAGACUUGAAAUUCACAGU
Molecule: long non-coding RNA, 630 nt
Organism: Lepidothrix coronata (blue-crowned manakin)
Lineage: Eukaryota; Metazoa; Chordata; Aves; Passeriformes; Pipridae
Exons: 4
Source: RefSeq, a predicted model, not a curated record